RNAcentral lists this unclassified non-coding RNA (593 nucleotides) under Stemphylium vesicarium. RNAcentral describes it as "sequence contains 18S rRNA gene, ITS1, 5.8S rRNA gene, ITS2, 28S rRNA gene". The stretch from base 219 to 372 matches the Rfam family "5.8S ribosomal RNA". Lineage: Eukaryota; Fungi; Ascomycota; Dothideomycetes; Pleosporales; Pleosporaceae. The record is from RNAcentral.
UCGUAACAAGGUCUCCGUAGGUGAACCUGCGGAGGGAUCAUUACACAAUAUGAAAGCGGGUUGGGACCUCACCUCGGUGAGGGCUCCAGCUUGUCUGAAUUAUUCACCCAUGUCUUUUGCGCACUUCUUGUUUCCUGGGCGGGUUCGCCCGCCACCAGGACCAAACCAUAAACCUUUUUGUAAUUGCAAUCAGCGUCAGUAAACAAUGUAAUUAUUACAACUUUCAACAACGGAUCUCUUGGUUCUGGCAUCGAUGAAGAACGCAGCGAAAUGCGAUACGUAGUGUGAAUUGCAGAAUUCAGUGAAUCAUCGAAUCUUUGAACGCACAUUGCGCCCUUUGGUAUUCCAAAGGGCAUGCCUGUUCGAGCGUCAUUUGUACCCUCAAGCUUUGCUUGGUGUUGGGCGUCUUUGUCUCUCACGAGACUCGCCUUAAAAUGAUUGGCAGCCGACCUACUGGUUUCGGAGCGCAGCACAAUUCUUGCACUUUGAAUCAGCCUUGGUUGAGCAUCCAUCAAGACCACAUUUUUUUCAACUUUUGACCUCGGAUCAGGUAGGGAUACCCGCUGAACUUAAGCAUAUCAAUAAGCGGAGGA